ACUAUCUUGUAGGCAUGAGGUGCCGCUGUUUGAGUCUCAGGCAGCGGAGAAUUGGGAAGCCGGUGAGAGUCCGGCACUGCCCCCGCAACGGUAAAGAAGGAUAGGGCCGGCAAUCAGCCACUGGGACGAGGAUCCCGGGAAGGUGUCGGCACCGGGCGCAAGCCCCUUCCAAGUCCGGAAACCAGCCUCAUGGAUAUGUCAAAC
Molecule: non-coding RNA, 204 nt
Filed under: Ruegeria sp. ANG-S4
Lineage: Bacteria; Pseudomonadati; Pseudomonadota; Alphaproteobacteria; Rhodobacterales; Roseobacteraceae
Also listed under: 1 other name
Source: RNAcentral